GCAACCGGAAGGAUCCAAGGCAUGCGAGUCAUUGUAGUAAUACAAGGCAGACGGCUCAGUAACGCGUAGUCAAUCUACCCUAUGGACGAGGAUAACCUCGGGAAACUGAGAAUAAUACUCGAUAGAACACUAUGCCUGGAAUGGUUUGUGUUUGAAAUGAUUUAUCGCCGUAGGAUGGGACUGCGGCCUAUCAGUUUGUUGGUGAGGUAAUGGCCCACCAAGACUAUUACAGGUACGGGCUCUGAGAGGAGUGGCCCGGAGAUGGGUACUGAGACACGGACCCAGGCCCUAUGGGGCGCAGCAGGCGAGAAAACUUUGCAAUGUGCGAAAGCACGACAAGGUUAAUCCGAGUGGUUUCUGCUAAAGGAACCUUUUGUCAGUCCUAGAAACACUGAUGAAUAAGGGGUGGGCAAGUUCUGGUGUCAGCCGCCGCGGUAAAACCAGCACCUCAAGUGGUCAGGAUGAUUAUUGGGCCUAAAGCAUCCGUAGCCGGCUAUGUAAGUUUUCGGUUAAAUCUGUGCGCUUAACGUACAGGCUGCCGGGAAUACUGCAUAGCUAGGAAGUGGGAGAGGUAGACGGUACUCGGUAGGAAGGGGUAAAAUCCUUUGAUCUAUUGAUGACCACCUGUGGCGAAGGCGGUCUACCAGAACACGUUCGACGGUGAGGGAUGAAAGCUGGGGGAGCAAACCGGAUUAGAUACCCGGGUAGUCCCAGCCGUAAACUAUGCAAACUCAGUGAUGCAUUGGCUUGUGGCCAAUGCAGUGCUGCAGGGAAGCCGUUAAGUUUGCCGCCUGGGAAGUACGUACGCAAGUAUGAAACCUAAAGGAAUUGGCGGGGGAGCACCACAAGGGGUGAAGCCUGCGGUUCAAUUGGAGUCAACGCCGGG
This 886-nucleotide ribosomal RNA is filed under the name uncultured archaeon. Its description in RNAcentral is "bacterial SSU rRNA". It matches the Rfam family "Archaeal small subunit ribosomal RNA", at positions 29 to 922 of the family's 1478-position model. The record is from RNAcentral.